This 84-nucleotide microRNA precursor is filed under the name Bombyx mori (domestic silkworm). Its description in RNAcentral is "mir-2807 microRNA precursor family". It matches the Rfam family "mir-2807 microRNA precursor family". Lineage: Eukaryota; Metazoa; Arthropoda; Insecta; Lepidoptera; Bombycidae. The record is from Rfam by way of RNAcentral.
UAAACUCAACUUUGUAUGGAGUUGGAACGUUUGCUUACGUUUGUCGCUAGGGGCGCUGUGCCAACUCCAUACAAAUUUGAGUUA